AGACGGAGGGGGCUAGCGUUAUUCGGAAUGACUGGGCGUAAAGCGCGUGUAGGCGGACUUUUAAGUUAGGCGUGAAAGCCCCGGGCUCAACCCGGGAACUGCGUCUAAAACUGGAAGACUAGAGUACUGUAGAGGAGAGUGGAAUUCCUAGUGUAGAGGUGAAAUUCGUAGAUAUUAGGAGGAACACCAGAGGCGAAGGCGGCUCUCUGCAGUAACUGACGCUGAGACGCGAAAGCGUGGGGAGCAAACAGGAUUAGAAACCCUAGUAGUCC
This 272-nucleotide ribosomal RNA is filed under the name uncultured bacterium. RNAcentral's name for it is "partial 16S ribosomal RNA". It matches the Rfam family "Bacterial small subunit ribosomal RNA", at positions 523 to 796 of the family's 1533-position model. The record is from RNAcentral.